This 492-nucleotide ribosomal RNA is filed under the name uncultured bacterium. RNAcentral's name for it is "partial 16S ribosomal RNA". It matches the Rfam family "Bacterial small subunit ribosomal RNA", at positions 29 to 507 of the family's 1533-position model. The record is from RNAcentral.
AGUGAACGCUGGCGGUAGGCCUAACACAUGCAAGUCGAACGGCAGCACAGUAAGAGCUUGCUCUUACGGGUGGCGAGUGGCGGACGGGUGAGGAAUACAUCGGAAUCUACUUUUUCGUGGGGGACAACGUAGGGAAACUUACGCUAAUACCGCAUACGACCUACGGGUGAAAGCAGGGGAUCUUCGGACCUUGCGCGAUUGAAUGAGCCGAUGUCGGACUAGCUAGUUGGCGGGGUAAAGGCCCACCAAGGCGACGAUCCGUAGCUGGUCUGAGAGGAUGAUCAGCCACACUGGAACUGAGACACGGUCCAGACUCCUACGGGAGGCAGCAGUGGGGAAUAUUGGACAAUGGGCGCAAGCCUGAUCCAGCCAUACCGCGUGGGUGAAGAAGGCCUUCGGGUUGUAAAGCCCUUUUGUUGGGAAAGAAAAGCAGCAGGUUAAUACCCCGCUGUUCUGACGGUACCCAAAGAAUAAGCGCCGGCUAACUUCGUG